Cyprinus carpio carpio is the source of this 2566-nucleotide long non-coding RNA. Lineage: Eukaryota; Metazoa; Chordata; Actinopteri; Cypriniformes; Cyprinidae. The record is from Ensembl.
AUGGAGGAGACGGUGAUGAACCUCAGGCUUAGCCAAGACCGAGGCCAGGUAAACUACACUGGUUUGCUGCGUCCUUUGUCGGAUUACAACUUUAAAUGCAGGGAGACCCUGACUGUGCUGCUGGAUCUACUGGGAAGUGAACGGCAACAUGAAUGGUGUGCCAUGAUCCAGACCCUGGUGUUUCUCUUCUGUCUGCUAGUGGUACAUCAUACAGAUGGUCUCCAGAGUGUUUGACAUGUGCCUCGUUCCACUGUCACCACACUGUCCUCCGAGUCUCUGAGGUGCUGGCCAUUCACCAAGAGACUGACCUCCUGAAGACCCCAGAAAACACGGAGGCAGGGCUGGGCUCAAACUGAUGUUGUUUUUCUGAUGUUAAACCUAAGCUAUGUUGUAAAUGGUUGUAAAAAGUACUUUCUAUUAUGUAUAGAACAAUUUGUUUUAAUGUGUAAAAAAGUAUUUACAGGACAAACAAAUAAACAUAUAAAAGAAUGUUUUGUGAAAAAAAUUAUAAGCUACAUAAAAAAAAAAUACCAAUGUACAUAAGCACUUUUCUUUUAUUUACACAUGUGAAUAUGCAAAACAAAAAUACAAAAUGUACAGAAAGUACUCAGGCGUAUUUAUGAAUAAAUUACAAAAAAUGAAUAAUGUAUACAAUUUAUGCAUUUCAUUUUUAACUUGCGUCACAAAAAUAAACUACAGAAAUUAGGUUGUUUCAUUGACAAUAUGACAUUUAAAAAAUGUAUUGGAAAAACUGUAAUGUACUCAUUUUUUCCCACUGUUUUCUCUUGGCUAAUGAAGAAUGAAUUUGUUUGAGUUUGAUGGCCUCCCUGUCCACUCGCUCCCUCACCUGUCUCAGGACACUUCACAAAUAAACCUUGCCUGUUAACAACAAAAACACAUGCUCACUUUCUCCAGAAUAGUAUUAAAACAAAAGAAAAUGGAAACACUUAUGAAAAAAGACAGGUUUGCAAUCUUAACAUUAGAAAAUAUGACAUAGAAGGACAUGCAUACAAAAUACUGAAGUGCUUAAGUUUGGUUAAAACAUUUGUAGACAUCUCUUGCAUGAGUGCACUACAGAAACACAACAAAGGGAAAGACCAUUGCCUUAUAUAGUGGCUGUCUUAUUGUUUGUGGGCUUUAUGCUAAAAAAACCUGGCUUUAAACCCUUUUGCUACGUAUUUGAGCAAAUGAAAACACAAUACUUACAUUUCAAUGUGAAGUCCUCCACAGAACUCUCACCUGCCUCUGAAUAUAAAUACCUUCGUCAUAUGCACGCAAGUGAUUCUGGGAUAUUGUAGGGUGCGAAGUGUCCAUAAGAUGUACGCUUAAUUUUUAUGGGAAAUGAAGGGCGCAUUUGAAGUCGCUUUCGAAAUUCGUCAGCCUUCGUCGCGCCGCGGUGACGCAUUCGCACUUCAGAUGCGGUCUUCGAAGUGCGCAUUCUGACAUUGGGACAGCUUAUUUCGUGACGCUGUGACACUAUCGCACUUCGGAGUCCACACACUUCAGUUUGGGACACCCUUCGUCGCGCCACUGUGAUGCAUUCGCACUUCAAAUGCGCACUUCGGAGUCCAUGCACUUAAGUUCGGGACACAGCUACUGUUUGCUGAGUCUUGUUUAGCUGUAAUUGGACAAUUCAGAGCACUCUCUUGUUUGUCUUGCCUAGCCUUGCUAAGUUUUGAUCUUGGACUGUUUUUGUGAUCAUUUGCUGCCUCCCAGACCUUUACCUGUUUAUUGGAUUACUCUUUUAUUUUGACCUUGGACAUUAUUGUUUGCUGGUGAUUUGACCUUGCCUGUUUCAACCAUUCUUUUAAUAAAGCCUGCACCUACUCUGUUUUCACGCUCCCCGUCUUUUACAAAUUCAAUCUCAACUGGCAGCCCUAUUAGCUUUUCCCUUUGCUCAGUAUUACCCUCGACCCUCAACACACCUCAUCAAAUCCAAAUAAUCCUUUUUGCAAAGAAAAGGGAUCAGUUAAAGUGAAAAACAGGGAUUAUUGACAGGAGAAUAGGAAAGGGGAAUUUUUAGAGUACAGCAAGCCAUAAGUAACCUGACAAACAUGGAGGUUUUGAUGGGUGCUCUAUACAGAUGCAUUGGAAAGCAUCCAUUCUAGAGAGGAAAUAAAGCUAUGAUAACCACUGUGAUAUGUAAUUCAGCUAACAAAGCCCCUUUUCCACAGCUUGUGUGAGAGACAGCUAUGAAGCACACAAGAACAAUGCGAUCUCCACACAUUUCCCUCAACUAUCCCUUUUGUAGCAUUACUGAGAAUUAAAAGGAGAAAUCAGUUGAGUGUUACUGGGGUUCAAUGUGAAAUCAAAUGAAAAUGUAAAUGGAUAAUUUAAGGGCACUUACCUAUGGUAGAAAAAUAAUGUCAUGUGUGUUUGAAACAAAAAAGCAUGUUGAAUUGCACUAACUAAAAAUGCAUUGCAUUAAUAGUGCUUGCAUUUUGCUUAAAAUCUAAGUUUUAAUAGUUUUUUUUUUUUUUUUAAGAUGUGAAUAUUUAAAUUCAAAAUAUUCCACACACGUUUUCAUAAUUAAACAUUUAAUAAUUCAUAUUCACCUUCCAGAAUU